GACACUGGCUUGUGGCUCUGGGCUGGGGCUGGGGCUGGCGGCCGGCAGCCAAGCGUCUGGCGGAACCGGGAUCUCUUCCGCGGUUUAGCCGGAUGACUGAAAUGAACUUUUUCUACACCCUUGUGUAACAGUGGUCUGCCUAAAGAAGGGACUAAGAAUUAGUGAGAAAGAUUCCUGACAGCAGCGCUCUUCCCCGGCAAACAUGGUAACAUGACUGCAACCUUGAAGAACCUUGUAGAGAGUGGCUUCCACCUGGGUAAAAUGCUCAACGUGCAUUACGAAAUUAUGAAAAUGGAGGCUCUGGAGUAGGUAGAGAGAUCACUACAGGAGAGGAAGGCUAGCGAAUGGGGAGCUGCCAGAAGAGGAAGAUGAACUUUGUCAGUUGCAGCCACAUGCCCUGGCCUGCCUACCUGUCCUUGACCUGUGACAAUCUUCCAUCAUUGAUCUCCUGUUCUGACUCCUGGUCUCCACGUCACUGUGAUACCAUGAAGAGAGAGCUCUGCUCCAACUCACCCUCCUCGCCACGUGUAGUCUCAAUUCUGGUCCACAACAACGAAUACCAACUAAUGCUGAAUGAAUACUGCAAAGAGGGAUAAGACAGGAGUUGUGCUAAAGAAGGUACACUCUGACCACACAACAAUCACAGAGAAGAUGGACAAAACCACGGCAAGAAUCCUGUGAAACCAUGGGCGCA
Meriones unguiculatus (Mongolian gerbil) is the source of this 694-nucleotide long non-coding RNA. RefSeq lists it as uncharacterized. Lineage: Eukaryota; Metazoa; Chordata; Mammalia; Rodentia; Muridae. The transcript has 4 exons. The record is from RefSeq and is a predicted model, not a curated record.